Molecule: ribosomal RNA, 253 nt
Filed under: uncultured bacterium
Lineage: Bacteria
Description: partial 16S ribosomal RNA
Rfam family: Bacterial small subunit ribosomal RNA
Source: RNAcentral
UACGUAGGGUGCGAGCGUUAAUCGGAAUUACUGGGCGUAAAGCGUGCGCAGGCGGUUCGACAAGUCUGAUGUGAAAGCCCCGGGCUCAACCUGGGAAUGGCAUUGGAAACUAGCGGGCUAGAGUUUGGCAGAGGGGGGUGGAAUUCCUGGUGUAGCAGUGAAAUGCGUAGAGAUCAGGAGGAACACCGAUGGCGAAGGCAGCCCCCUGGGCUACAACUGACGCUCAGGCACGAAAGCGUGGGGAGCAAACAGG